CAAUAACUAUUUUACUUUAACUUAGAAUCUAGGAAGAAAUGAAGAAAAUUUAUGAAGGGUGGCCAAACAAGGUACUAUGAUUACUAUCUACAUGUGAUUGUUAUUUUAUCUACCGCAGACUAAUCUAAUUGGAAUAAAAUUUAUAUAGGGGAUUCAAACACAGAAAAAAACUAUCUGCAUGAGUUUUUACAUUAGAGUCACAUAAUUAACUAUCUUCUGAUCAACUAAAAUAUCCAAGAAUGUUAUAUAUCUUCUGCAUUCAAUCAAAGAAAAUAUUAUAAUGAAAGAUAAUUCUAUCUUAUGUAUCCACUGUCUCUUCUCUUCUCCAAACUUAUGAUAAUAAUAGGUUAUACUAUACUAUCUUAAAAGAAUACUUAAAAUAUUUCAUAAUCUAAUCAUUAGAAUUCUCUAAAACUAACUGUCAUUCCUAAUAAU
This 435-nucleotide long non-coding RNA is filed under the name Physcomitrium patens. Its description in RNAcentral is "long non-coding RNA (PPAT_LNC003499)". The record is from RNAcentral. Lineage: Eukaryota; Viridiplantae; Streptophyta; Bryopsida; Funariales; Funariaceae.